This 166-nucleotide ribosomal RNA is filed under the name Penicillium sp. CPZJ. RNAcentral's name for it is "5.8S ribosomal RNA". It matches the Rfam family "5.8S ribosomal RNA". Rfam says of the family: 5.8S ribosomal RNA (5.8S rRNA) is a component of the large subunit of the eukaryotic ribosome. Lineage: Eukaryota; Fungi; Ascomycota; Eurotiomycetes; Eurotiales; Aspergillaceae. The record is from RNAcentral.
AAAUUAUUUAAAACUUUCAACAACGGAUCUCUUGGUUCCGGCAUCGAUGAAGAACGCAGCGAAAUGCGAUACGUAAUGUGAAUUGCAAAUUCAGUGAAUCAUCGAGUCUUUGAACGCACAUUGCGCCCCCUGGUAUUCCGGGGGGCAUGCCUGUCCGAGCGUCAUU